RNAcentral lists this ribosomal RNA (492 nucleotides) under uncultured bacterium. RNAcentral's name for it is "partial 16S ribosomal RNA". It matches the Rfam family "Bacterial small subunit ribosomal RNA", at positions 29 to 507 of the family's 1533-position model. The record is from RNAcentral.
AGUGAACGCUGGCGGUAGGCCUAACACAUGCGAGUCGAACGGCAGCACAGUAAGAGCUUGCUCUUACGGGUGGCGCGUGGCGGACGGGUGAGGAAUACAUCGGAAUCUACUUUUUCGUGGGGGAUAACGUAGGGAAACUUACGCUAAUACCGCAUACGACCUACGGGUGAAAGCAGGGGAUCUUCGGACCUUGCGCGAUUGAAUGAGCCGAUGUCGGAUUAGCUAGUUGGCGGGGUAAAGGCCCACCAAGGCGACGAUCCGUAGCUGGUCUGAGAGGAUGAUCAGCCACACUGGAACUGAGACACGGUCCAGACUCCUACGGGAGGCAGCAGUGGGGAAUAUUGGACAAUGGGCGCAAGCCUGAUCCAGCCAUACCGCGUGGGUGAAGAAGGCCUUCGGGUUGUAAAGCCCUUUUGUUGGGAAAGAAAAGCAGCAGGUUAAUACCCCGCUGUUCUGACGGUACCCAAAGAAUAAGCACCGGCUAACUUCGUG